RNAcentral lists this ribosomal RNA (253 nucleotides) under uncultured bacterium. RNAcentral's name for it is "partial 16S ribosomal RNA". It matches the Rfam family "Bacterial small subunit ribosomal RNA", at positions 524 to 776 of the family's 1533-position model. The record is from RNAcentral.
CACGUAGGAGGCGAGCGUUGUCCGGAAUUACUGGGCGUAAAGAGCGCGCAGGCGGCCCGGCAAGUCGGGUGUGAAAUCCCGGGGCUCAACCCCGGGACUGCAUUCGAUACUGUCGGGCUAGAGGUAGGUAGGGGAGAUCGGAAUUCCUGGUGUAGCGGUGAAAUGCGCAGAUAUCAGGAGGAACACCGGUGGCGAAGGCGGAUCUCUGGGCCUUACCUGACGCUCAGGCGCGAAAGCUAGGGGAGCGAACAGG